GGGCAGGUGUCGAAAUGGCAUACGAUGGAGACUUAAAAUCUCCCGCUCGCAAGAGCAUGAGGGUUCGACUCCCUCCCUGCCCA
Molecule: transfer RNA, 83 nt
Filed under: Candidatus Omnitrophota bacterium
Lineage: Bacteria; Pseudomonadati; Candidatus Omnitrophota
Description: tRNA-Leu
Rfam family: tRNA
About the family: Transfer RNA (tRNA) molecules are approximately 80 nucleotides in length. Their secondary structure includes four short double-helical elements and three loops (D, anti-codon, and T loops).
Source: RNAcentral